GGGCUUGACAUCCCACGAACCUGGUGGAAACACCGGGGUGCCUUCGGGAGCCGCGAGACAGGUGCUGCAUGGCUGUCGUCAGCUCGUGUCGUGAGAUGUUGGGUUAAGUCCCGCAACGAGCGCAACCCUCACCCCUAGUUGCCACCGGGUUAAGCCGAGCACUCAAGGGGAACUGCCAGCGUCAAGCUGGAGGAAGGCGGGGAUGACGUCAAGUCAUCAUGCCCCUUACGCCCUGGGCUACACACGUGCUACAAUGGCCAGUACAAAGGGACGCGAGACUGCGAAGUGGGGCUAAUCCCAAAAAGCUGGUCUAAGUUCAGAUUGCAGUCCGCAACUCGACUGCAUGAAGGAGGAAUCGCUAGUAAUCGCGUAUCAGCCCGGCGCGGUGAAUACGUUCCCGGGCCUUGUACACACCGCCCGUCACACCACGAAAGCUGUCUGUACUCGAAGUCGCUGAG
This 458-nucleotide ribosomal RNA is filed under the name uncultured Methylomirabilota bacterium. RNAcentral describes it as "bacterial SSU rRNA". It matches the Rfam family "Bacterial small subunit ribosomal RNA", at positions 977 to 1434 of the family's 1533-position model. The record is from RNAcentral. Lineage: Bacteria; Methylomirabilota (SeqCode).